Ctenopharyngodon idella (grass carp) is the source of this 1545-nucleotide long non-coding RNA. RefSeq lists it as uncharacterized. The record is from RefSeq and is a predicted model, not a curated record. Lineage: Eukaryota; Metazoa; Chordata; Actinopteri; Cypriniformes; Xenocyprididae. The transcript is spliced from 2 exons.
UUUAGCAGUUUUCCAUCAUCCUAAAGUUGUAACAGACAAGACGUUACCUGUUUUAUUAUUGUAUUUAGCUCCUUUAUUAUUCUUGUUUUCUUAGUGUGUAAAUCACUUGUAGUACCACUAGGAGCAGCUUGAGGGCGCUAGUGCCGGGAGGUAACCGGGCAUAUAAGCUUGGCCACCAUAGAAUAAGUUAGCUUGUUUGGUAGAGGGAAGCCUUGUGGUUUGAACUCAAGCUAUCUUCUUGCUCAUUUAAAGUCCUUUGAGAACUCUAUGUUUCUGCUCAACUAAAGGACUUUUUUUAUGUCACGUGUAUGAUGAGAUGUCUUAAUGGUAAUUGGAGACCUCGAAGUCCAGUUUAAGUCAAGCUGGUAGCGAGGCUACAGCACAUGGCCUUAACUCACACGGUGGGCGACUCAACAAACGACGUUGAACGAUUAUCUCUCUCGUGGUGGAUUAUAGGACUUCAAACAUUGCAUUGCACUCAAAUAACCUUGUGGAUUUAAAGCUCAUUUCAUCUUCAUCAUUUCAACUCAUCAAAAGACUGGACUAACGCUAAGUUUACUUCACCUCACUGACUCAUUUAAAAGAGACAAAGCUGGCUCUCAAGUUUAUUCAUUGACUUUGUGACGCAUGUAAAUAAGCACUUCUGGGGAUAAUAAAAUGGGUUUAAAAGAUCAUUUGUUUUGUGAAAAGGUUUUAUUCAGUACAUGUCAAAAAUCUGUUGAACCCCUCGGAGUAACAUCUAAAAAAAAAGAAAAAAACAAAGGAGGUGUUUUUUUUUUUUUUUUUUUUUUUUUUUUAAAUGGGGUUUUUGGUUCAGUGCUUGAAAUAAGGUCUGUGGUAGACACAAUCUCAAUAUAUUUUUACUUUUUAUUCUACGAUAUAAAAUAUAUCAGUAAUACCCGCUUGUGUUUUUUUUUUUUUUUUUUUUUUUUUUUUUUUUUUUUAAAUCUUGUAAAAUGCAGUUGUUAACAAUUGUCUAAAUGGGACAACAGAGGUAAACUUAUCUACUUACUAGUCACUUUCACAGUCUCUUUGAAUUAUCACACACGUGCAAACUAUUAUACCUUGAACUUUUAUGGAAAAUGUCUUUAAACAAAGACUGAAAGAGCUGUCAGAGACUUAGCGAUGGUGACGCUUGAGUCAUGUGACUGUAGUGUUGGUGCUGGUGACCGUUUAGAUUUUGACUUCUUACGAUUGUAUUUACACUUCAAAAUUCAUAAAAGUUGCGUUCAUUAGUGAAGAUUAUUAUGAUGAACAAAACAUGUAAGAAUCAAAAGCUUUUGUUAGUCACAGACCUUAUUUUCUGCAAUAAUCCAAAAGCCAAAAAAAAUUCUAUUGGGUUUUUGUAGAGAGACCCAGGGUGAUGCAAACUGAUGGCCUGGUCAUCCCUACACUACUCUAUAUAUUGUGGUGACUGUAUAAAAUGUCUAUCGUUAUAGCAAAAUCUCUGUCUUGUAUAUCGUGGUAUGUAAAUGUAUACGUGUAGCACAGCAUUAUUGACACUGAAGUGCAUGAAUGAGACAAUAAAGAGUGGUACGUGCUUGA